This 429-nucleotide ribosomal RNA is filed under the name Gemmatimonadota bacterium. RNAcentral describes it as "Gemmatimonadetes bacterium partial 16S ribosomal RNA". It matches the Rfam family "Bacterial small subunit ribosomal RNA", at positions 355 to 776 of the family's 1533-position model. The record is from RNAcentral. Lineage: Bacteria; Pseudomonadati; Gemmatimonadota.
UAGGGAAUCUUCGGCAAUGGACGAAAGUCUGACCGAGCAACGCCGCGUGAGUGAAGAAGGUUUUCGGAUCGUAAAACUCUGUUGUUAGAGAAGAACAAGGACGUUAGUAACUGAACGUCCCCUGACGGUAUCUAACCAGAAAGCCACGGCUAACUACGUGCCAGCAGCCGCGGUAAUACGUAGGUGGCAAGCGUUGUCCGGAUUUAUUGGGCGUAAAGCGAGCGAAGGCGGUUUCUUAAGUCUGAUGUGAAAGCCCCCGGCUCAACCGGGGAGGGUCAUUGGAAACUGGGAGACUUGAGUGCAGAAGAGGAGAGUGGAAUUCCAUGUGUAGCGGUGAAAUGCGUAGAUAUAUGGAGGAACACCAGUGGCGAAGGCGGCUCUCUGGUCUGUAACUGACGCUGAGGCUCGAAAGCGUGGGGAGCAAACAGG